This 503-nucleotide ribosomal RNA is filed under the name Parapachymorpha spinigera. RNAcentral's name for it is "partial large subunit ribosomal RNA". The record is from RNAcentral. Lineage: Eukaryota; Metazoa; Arthropoda; Insecta; Phasmatodea; Phasmatidae.
AGAAAUCCUGAUUUCGAAAGGGGUUAUAAAAGGAUUCAAUUGCGCCCAGGGGGAGACUCGUCCUCGCCAGAUGUCGGCGGUGCGCCCGCGAGCGAAUCACGUUUUUCUCGCGGUGUCGUUUCCGUCCGUCACUCGGCUUGGGCAGACCUGGCUCGGGGUGCGGUGCACUUCCCCCCUAGUAGAAACGUCGCGACCCGUUGGGUGCCGGUCCCAAGGCCCGGGAUGGCAGACCGUCGCGUACCGCAAAAACCGGAUCGUUCGGUUGCGGGCGAGGCGGACUCCCGGUGUCCCGGCCGGCUGCCCGACGGUAUGAGAGGAGUCGAUCCGCUGAGUGGAAACCAGUUUGGCUUGUGUAGCGUCCGGCACCGGCUUGCCGCGCGUCGACGGCGGACAGGUUCCCGUGCCUAUCCCACGGGUCCUUCCCCUCGCGCUGUGCGCAGGUCGGUGUCCUCGGACAGGAUCAGUAACUCCGGUCCGCGGCGUUCAUCUUCGGAUGUUCUCCG